This is a non-coding RNA of Acanthosepion pharaonis, 102 nucleotides long. The record is from the annotation of a GenBank genome assembly. NCBI's taxonomy places the organism in Eukaryota, Metazoa, Mollusca, Cephalopoda, Sepiida, Sepiidae.
UUAUGGCCAUAUCACGUUGAAACAUUGGUUCCCAUAUGAUCACUGAAAUUAAGCAAUGUCGAACCUGGUCAGUACCUUAAUGGGUGACUGCUUGGGAAAUGC